RNAcentral lists this transfer RNA (71 nucleotides) under Marmota monax (woodchuck). RNAcentral's name for it is "tRNA.Ala". It matches the Rfam family "tRNA". From Rfam's summary of the family: Transfer RNA (tRNA) molecules are approximately 80 nucleotides in length. Their secondary structure includes four short double-helical elements and three loops (D, anti-codon, and T loops). The record is from RNAcentral. Lineage: Eukaryota; Metazoa; Chordata; Mammalia; Rodentia; Sciuridae.
GGGGUUGUAGCUCAGUGGUAUAGCGCUUGCUUAGCAUGUAUGAGGUACUGGGUUUGAUCCCCAGCACCACA